UACGAAGGGAGCUAGCGUUGUUCGGAAUUACUGGGCGUAAAGGGUGCGUAGGCUGUUUUGUAAGUUAGAUGUGAAAGCCUCGGUUUCAAGCUGAGAAUAGCAUUUAAUACUGCAAGACUAGAGGAUAAGAGAGGAUAGUGGAAUUCUGAGUGUAGAGGUAAAAUUCGUAGAUAUUCGGAGGAACACCAGAGGCGAAAGCGUCUAUCUGGAUUAAUCCUAACGCUGAGGCACGAAAGUAUGGGGAGCAAACAGG
Molecule: ribosomal RNA, 253 nt
Filed under: uncultured bacterium
Lineage: Bacteria
Description: partial 16S ribosomal RNA
Rfam family: Bacterial small subunit ribosomal RNA
Source: RNAcentral